RNAcentral lists this long non-coding RNA (698 nucleotides) under Homo sapiens (human). RNAcentral's name for it is "non-protein coding lnc-DTWD2-17:1". Lineage: Eukaryota; Metazoa; Chordata; Mammalia; Primates; Hominidae. The record is from RNAcentral.
AGAACAAUGCCUGGAACACAAUGGGCACUGAACAAAUAUUUAUAGAAUAAAUGAGUGAAUCAGUUAAUGGAUCAAAAAAUAGUCUUAGUUCAGCAACUACAACAAACUGAAACUUAAAACAGGAGACACGGUCAACACUUGAAUCUAUCCACAUCCAUACUCGAGUGUGGCCUACAGUGUUUGGAAGGGAAUCAUAUGGGAAAUAGACCUUCAGUUGAGAUUCAAAGGAUGGGCAUGAUGAGUUUUAAAAGAUUCAAAACAGGACACGAAUGGUAAACAAAUUAAAAAGGAAUGGAUACACAUGAUAUGCUUAGAGUCAAUAAAGGAACCAGUCUGGUUAUACAGACUGUUUUCUUAUCAUAGCCACAUGGCCUCAGUGCCCUAAAAAUGUCCCCAACAAUUAGGCCUCUCACUUCCUACACUAAUCUGGUGCUCUCCUACUGCUCAGGGCAUUGAAAGGGAUGGGUCCAGCCUAAGCACUGAACAUGUCUUCUAAAUCACCUUCCUGGCAGGAAGCAAUGGUAGGGUAACUAGCUUACUUGAGACCUGAGGGAAAUCACUGCUAGUUAAAUAAGAACACAUAAAAUUGAGGGAGAAGACCACAGAUGUUAACUAUAGCAUGGUUUGAAAGAACUAUUUGUCCUUAGAGUCCCAUAUAUUCUUUUCUUUCAGUAUUCACUUUAGAAAGUAAUUGAUUC